GACGAACGCUGGCGGCGUGCCUAAUACAUGCAAGUAGAACGCACAGUUUAUACCGUAGCUUGCUACACCAUAGACUGUGAGUUGCGAACGGGUGAGUAACGCGUAGGUAACCUGCCUGGUAGCGGGGGAUAACUAUUGGAAACGAUAGCUAAUACCGCAUAAUAUUAAUUAUUGCAUGAUAAUUAAUUGAAAGGUGCAAUUGCACCACUACCAGAUGGACCUGCGUUGUAUUAGCUAGUAGGUGAGGUAACGGCUCACCUAGGCGACGAUACAUAGCCGACCUGAGAGGGUGAUCGGCCACACUGGGACUGAGACACGGCCCAGACUCCUACGGGAGGCAGCAGUAGGGAAACUUCGGCAAUGGACGAAAGUCUGACCGAGCAACGCCGCGUGAGUGAAGAAGGUUUUCGGAUCGUAAAGCUCUGUUGUAAGAGAAGAACGGGUGUGAGAGUGGAAAGUUCACACUGUGACGGUAUCUUACCAGAAAGGGACGGCUAACUACGUG
RNAcentral lists this ribosomal RNA (505 nucleotides) under uncultured bacterium. RNAcentral describes it as "partial 16S ribosomal RNA". It matches the Rfam family "Bacterial small subunit ribosomal RNA", at positions 28 to 507 of the family's 1533-position model. The record is from RNAcentral.